CGGAACACGUACGCAAUCUACCCAAAACUGAUGAAUAGCCCUCCGAAAGGAGGAUUAAUACAUCGUAACCUAAAAGAGUGGCAUCACUUUAAUAGUAUAGCUCCGGCGGUUUUGGAUGAGCGUGCGCCUGAUUAGGUAGUUGGCGGGGUAACGGCCCACCAAGCCUGCGAUCAGUAACUGGUGUGAGAGCACGACCAGUCACACGGGCACUGAGACACGGGCCCG
Molecule: ribosomal RNA, 225 nt
Filed under: uncultured bacterium
Lineage: Bacteria
Description: partial 16S ribosomal RNA
Rfam family: Bacterial small subunit ribosomal RNA
Source: RNAcentral